UACGUAGGGGGCAAGCGUUAUCCGGAUUUACUGGGUGUAAAGGGAGCGUAGACGGCUGUGCAAGUCUGAAGUGAAAGGCAAGGGCUCAACCUUUGGACUGCUUUGGAAACUGUGCAGCUAGAGUGUCGGAGAGGCAAGUGGAAUUCCUAGUGUAGCGGUGAAAUGCGUAGAUAUUAGGAGGAACACCAGUGGCGAAGGCGGUCUGCUGGACAGCAACUGACGCUGAGGCGCGAAAGCGUGGGGAGCAAACAGG
Molecule: ribosomal RNA, 253 nt
Filed under: uncultured bacterium
Lineage: Bacteria
Description: partial 16S ribosomal RNA
Rfam family: Bacterial small subunit ribosomal RNA
Source: RNAcentral